CACCAAAACUCUUUGUCAGGGCGUUUUCUAUUCCACCGAGAAUACAAUUCAUCAACGAAAAGGUCUGUUACAGUUUUGGAAGAUUAAUACCACUCGCCUUCUACUUUUCUCCCGUUCUGGGAGAACUUGGGUAGAAACAGGUGGGUAACCACCGUUUUGGUGGUAUGCCACCGCUUUUAGAGUGAGGAGGAUCUUCAGAGUUAAGCUUUGGAUGGGUACACCCCUUCAAGAUAAUUCCAUUGCUUGUAGUAAUGAACCUCACAUUA
This 266-nucleotide small nucleolar RNA is filed under the name Lachancea kluyveri NRRL Y-12651. RNAcentral describes it as "Small nucleolar RNA snR191". It matches the Rfam family "Small nucleolar RNA snR191". The record is from Rfam by way of RNAcentral. Lineage: Eukaryota; Fungi; Ascomycota; Saccharomycetes; Saccharomycetales; Saccharomycetaceae.